GAGUUUGAUCAUGGCUCAGAUUGAACGCUGGCGGCAUGCCUUACACAUGCAAGUCGAACGGCAGCACGGGAGCUUGCUCCUGGUGGCGAGUGGCGAACGGGUGAGUAAUGCAUCGGAACGUAUCCUGGAGUGGGGGAUAACGUAGCGAAAGUUACGCUAAUACCGCAUAUUCUGUGAGCAGGAAAGCGGGGGACCUUCGGGCCUCGCGCUCUUGGAGCGGCCGAUGUCGGAUUAGCUAGUUGGUGAGGUAAAGGCGUCACCAAGGCGACGAUCCGUAGCAGGUCUGAGAGGAUGAUCUGCCACACUGGAACUGAGACACGGUCCAGACUCCUACGGGAGGCAGCAGUGGGGAAUUUUGGACAAUGGGGGCAACCCGUGAUCCAGCCAUGCCGCGUGAGUGAAG
This 403-nucleotide ribosomal RNA is filed under the name bacterium enrichment culture clone ALO1_GLFRUDD03FMSZP. Its description in RNAcentral is "bacterial SSU rRNA". It matches the Rfam family "Bacterial small subunit ribosomal RNA", at positions 9 to 410 of the family's 1533-position model. The record is from RNAcentral.